RNAcentral lists this ribosomal RNA (495 nucleotides) under uncultured Actinomyces sp. RNAcentral describes it as "partial 16S ribosomal RNA". The record is from RNAcentral. Lineage: Bacteria; Bacillati; Actinomycetota; Actinomycetes; Actinomycetales; Actinomycetaceae.
CACGUAGUUAGCCGGCGCUUCUUAUCCAGCUACCGUCAACCCACCCACACAGGGACAGGCCUGCUUCACUGGCGAAAGAGGUUCACAACCCGAAGGCCUCCAUCCCUCACGCGGCGUCGCUGCAUCAGGCUUGCGCCCAUUGUGCAAUAUUCCCCACUGCUGCCUCCCGUAGGAGUCUGGGCCGUGUCUCAGUCCCAGUGUGACCGUCCACCCUCUCAGGCCGGCUACCCGUCACCGCCUUGGUAGGCCAUCACCCCACCAACAAGCUGAUAGGCCGCGAGCCCAUCCCCCACCAAAAACACCCAAAGGCGCAAUCUUUCCCACACCCACCAUGCAGCAGGCACAGAAUAUCCCGUAUUAGCCACACUUUCAUGCGGUUAUCCAGAAGAAGGGGGCAGGUUACUCACGUGUUACUCACCCGUUCGCCACUCAUCCACACCCACCACAAUAGGAAGGCGCUUCACCGUUCGACUUGCAUGUGUUAAGCACGCCGCC